Molecule: ribosomal RNA, 442 nt
Filed under: uncultured bacterium
Lineage: Bacteria
Description: partial 16S ribosomal RNA
Rfam family: Bacterial small subunit ribosomal RNA
Source: RNAcentral
CCUACGGGGGGCAGCAGUGGGGAAUAUUGGGCAAUGGACGCAAGUCUGACCCAGCAACGCCGCGUGAAGGAAGAAGGCUUUCGGGUUGUAAACUUCUUUUAAGGGGGAAGAGCAGAAGACGGUACCCCUUGAAUAAGCCACGGCUAACUACGUGCCAGCAGCUGCGGUAAUACGUAGGUGGCAAGUGUUGUCCGGAUUUACUGGGUGGAAAGGGCGUGCAGCCGGAGAGACAAGUCAGAUGUGAAAUCCACGGGCUCAACCCGUGAACUGCAUUUGAAACUGUUUCCCUUGAGUGUCGGAGAGGUAAUCGGAAUUCCUGGUGUAGCGGUGAAAUGCGUAGAUAUAAGGAAGAACACCAGUGGCGAAGGCGGAUUACUGGACGAUAACUGACGGUGAGGCGCGAAAGCGUGGGGAGCGAACAGGAUUAGAUACCCGAGUAGUC